Molecule: ribosomal RNA, 804 nt
Filed under: Bacillus sp. HK-12
Lineage: Bacteria; Bacillati; Bacillota; Bacilli; Caryophanales; Bacillaceae
Description: partial 16S ribosomal RNA
Source: RNAcentral
GCUAUAAUGCAGUCGAGCGGACCGACGGGAGCUUGCUCCCUUAGGUCAGCGGCGGACGGGUGAGUAACACGUGGGUAACCUGCCUGUAAGACUGGGAUACCUCCGGGAAACCGGGGCUAAAACAAGAUGGUAGAUCGACCUCCCUGGGGGGGUGAUAGUGGCCUUUGACUCUGGUUAAGAGGAGAUUUGAAUGGGAGACAACGNGCUCUGUGAUCCCCAUCGGGAAUCUCAGGAGUAAAUGUUACAGAAUUGACUUGUUCACGGACAGGUGGUGUCUCUCCCCCUUCUCUGCCACCCUGAUUGGCCAUGUUUGCUGCGUGACGGAAAUGGGUGCGAUGNACGAAAGGUGCCUGGUGGCGGCCGUAGUGCCCGCANGGGUCGACUGAACAACACCUAUGGACACACAAGAGCAGCCGUCAAACCCCAGGUGNAAACCGUGAUGACAUUCGCUGGCCAUGCAUCCCGUGUCGGAAAGACAAUUACAAAAUUUGCGUACUUGACAUAAUGGACAUACCUCNUGGGAUAGGACGAAACAGAUCGUUAAAGAGUUUGUCGCAAUGCGGCCGAUUNGUCCACGAAUAGGAACUAAGAAGUGAGCCUNGAAGGGGGUAGCGAGUAUGUUCGUUCACAAUAAACUGAAAGCUAGAGGAUAAUGAGGUUCUUAACGGGGGAACUCUAGCUCGAGUAAGACGCUGCCCGNNNAUGGAUCAAGUCCCAGUCCUCAGACUGUACAUGCAUAUUUCGACAUGGGCACAAUUGCAUCUCCACUCCUCAAACCUGCGUCUCAACUCAUUAUUGACCUAA